UUGCUUCCAAAGCACAUAUAUUACAAUUUGAACAACAUAGGGAAGAUUAGCAUGGCUCUUGUGCAAGGAUGACAUGCAAAUUCAUGAAGCGUUCCAUAUUUUC
This is a small nuclear RNA of Arvicanthis niloticus (Nile rat), 103 nucleotides long. The record is from RefSeq and is a predicted model, not a curated record. Lineage: Eukaryota; Metazoa; Chordata; Mammalia; Rodentia; Muridae.